CAGUCGCCGCGGGAAUACGAAGGGUGCAAGCGUUAAUCGGAAUUACUGGGCGUAAAGCGUGCGUAGGCGGUGAGUUAAGUCUGCUGUGAAAUCCCCGGGCUCAACCUGGGAACUGCAUCUGUGACUGCAUAGCUAGAGUACGGUAGAGGGGGAUGGAAUUCCGCGUGUAGCAGUGAAAUGCGUAGAUAUGCGGAGGAACACCGAUGGCGAAAGCAAUCCCCUGGACCUGUACUGACGCUCAUGCACGAAAACGUGGGGAGCAAACAGGAUUAGAUACCCCAGUAGUCCCUGUCUCUUAUAC
RNAcentral lists this ribosomal RNA (301 nucleotides) under uncultured bacterium. Its description in RNAcentral is "partial 16S ribosomal RNA". It matches the Rfam family "Bacterial small subunit ribosomal RNA", at positions 509 to 807 of the family's 1533-position model. The record is from RNAcentral.